GAUGAAGAACGCAGCGAAAUGCGAUAAGUAAUGUGAACUGCAGAAUUCAGUGAAUCAUCGAAUCUUUGAACGCACAUUGCGCCCGCCAGCACUCUGGCGGGCAUGCCUGUCCGAGCGUCAUUUCAACCCUCGCGCCGUCCCUCCAGGGGGCUCGGCGCGGUGUUGGGGGACACGGCCCCGGCCGCCCCCGAAAUGCAGUGGCGACCCCGCCGCGGCCCCUCCAGCGCAGUAAGCACGCUCGCUACGGGAGGCCCGGUGGACGCGUCCGCCGUAAAACGCCCAACUCUUCAGAAGUUGACCUCGGAUCAGGUAGGGAUACCCGCUGAACUUAAGCAUAUCAAUAAGCGGAGGA
Molecule: unclassified non-coding RNA, 352 nt
Filed under: soil metagenome
Description: partial contains 5.8S ribosomal RNA, internal transcribed spacer 2, and large subunit ribosomal RNA
Rfam family: 5.8S ribosomal RNA (bases 1-120)
Source: RNAcentral